Long non-coding RNA from Heterocephalus glaber (naked mole-rat), 931 nucleotides. The record is from Ensembl. Lineage: Eukaryota; Metazoa; Chordata; Mammalia; Rodentia; Bathyergidae.
CAGGGAGGCCUGUGGGGAGGGGGUCCUAUGUUGCUUUUUGUCUGUGGAUCACUCCUAUGGGCAGGAGCCUUGCAGCCACUUUGUGCUGGAAGGACAGAGGUGCUCUCUUUCUCUCACGAUGACCUGAGUGAGCUAUUCUUAGAUUCUCCCUUACUUCUCCCACCUCUACUCCCUCUUCCUUACCCUUCCAUCUUGUAAAAACAUCACCACUGCUUAGGUAUUUCAUAGGGAAAUUUCAAACUGUGCUGAAUAAGUUUCCCAGAAAACAAAUGAAAACUAUACUUUCCUUUCCUUCCCCAGGCAGUGAUUAGCCAUGUAGUCUGGAAAACGGUUUUGAAAGUAGAAAUAUUUAGAGAGCUAACGUCCUUGCUCUCUUCCCAACCGCACUCAGAUAACAGGCGAAUGGCAGCUAGUCCUCUCAAGCUCAGUGCUCUGGCUGCUGCUUCCUCCCUGUGCCCCCAUCUGGCCCCCCUCUUCACGACACUUCUUCUCAGCUACAAGAACAGGUUAUCAAGGUGAUAAUAAGCGAGAAAAUGUUCCAGCCUUGUUUUAAACCUCAGCCACAUCGCACUGCUUAAUCGAGGUUAAAAGCCUGUGUGAACCUGUGUUUUCUACCCCUCUGGCCACGCAGCCCUAAAGCCAGCCUGAUCCGGCCUUGGCUCGCCCCUCUCCGCCAGAGACCAGCUGGUGAGGAUGAUUGAGGUGGCCCCAGCCUCCCAGCUGCUGCUGACUUGCACUUGGAAAUUCAAUCCUCUCAAGAUCCCAAAUGACUCGGGGACUGUCUGGGCCACUGCUGGACUGCGAGUGGCCUGGCCUUGGUGCUCCGUCUUCCCUCGGGUGGGGCUGCCCCAGUUGCUUGGAGCCACACUCUGGUGCUAAGUUUGGAGACCAAACUAACAGCAAAAAAGAUGUGGUGUUACCCUCCGAUGCC